AUUGAACGCUGGCGGCAGGCCUAACACAUGCAAGUCGAGCGGAUGAAGGGAGCUUGCUCCUGGAUUCAGCGGCGGACGGGUGAGUAAUGCCUAGGAAUCUGCCUGGUAGUAGGGGAUAACGUCCGGAAACGGGCGCUAAUACCGCAUACGUCCUAGGGGAGAAAGUGGGGGAUCUUCGGACCUCACGCUAUCAGAUGAGCCUAGGUCGGAUUAGCUAGUUGGUGGGGUAAAGGCCUACCAAGGCGACGAUCCGUAACUGGUCUGAGAGGAUGAUCAGUCACACUGGAACUGAGACACGGUCCAGACUCCUACGGGAGGCAGCAGUGGGGAAUAUUGGACAAUGGGCGAAAGCCUGAUCCAGCCAUGCCGCGUGUGUGAAGAAGGUCUUCGGAUUGUAAAGCACUUUAAGUUGGGAGGAAGGGCAGUAAGUUAAUACCUUGCUGUUUUGACGUUACCAACAGAAUAAGCACCGGCUAACUUCGUG
This 484-nucleotide ribosomal RNA is filed under the name uncultured bacterium. RNAcentral describes it as "partial 16S ribosomal RNA". It matches the Rfam family "Bacterial small subunit ribosomal RNA", at positions 30 to 507 of the family's 1533-position model. The record is from RNAcentral.